RNAcentral lists this ribosomal RNA (491 nucleotides) under uncultured bacterium. Its description in RNAcentral is "partial 16S ribosomal RNA". It matches the Rfam family "Bacterial small subunit ribosomal RNA", at positions 29 to 506 of the family's 1533-position model. The record is from RNAcentral.
AGUGAACGCUGGCGGUAGGCCUAACACAUGCAAGUCGAACGGCAGCACAGUAAGAGCUUGCUCUUACGGGUGGCGAGUGGCGGACGGGUGAGGAAUACAUCGGAAUCUACUUUUUCGUGGGGGAUAACGUAGGGAAACUUACGCUAAUACCGCAUACGACCUACGGGUGAAAGCAGGGGAUCUUCGGACCUUGCGCGAUUGAAUGAGCCGAUGUCGGAUUAGCUAGUUGGCGGGGUAAAGGCCCACCAAGGCGACGAUCCGUAGCUGGUCUGAGAGGAUGAUCAGCAACACUGGAACUGAGACACGGUCCAGACUCCUACGGGAGGCAGCAGUGGGGAAUAUUGGACAAUGGGCGCAAGCCUGAUCCAGCCAUACCGCGUGGGUGAAGAAGGCCUGCGGGUUGUAAAGCCCUUUUGUUGGGAAAGAAAAGCAGCAGGUUAAUACCCCGCUGUUCGGACGGGACCCAAAGAAUAAGCACCGGCGAACUUCGG